This 3234-nucleotide ribosomal RNA is filed under the name Triticum aestivum (bread wheat). Its description in RNAcentral is "partial small subunit ribosomal RNA". Lineage: Eukaryota; Viridiplantae; Streptophyta; Magnoliopsida; Poales; Poaceae. The record is from RNAcentral.
AUGUCGAGGCCGCCGCCCCCUUUCACGCCGCAAAACCCUACCCCGGCCCCCAACCCUGGGGGUCCGGCCUCCACUCUCCCGGCUUCCUUCUCCAACCUCCAGAUCUCGCGCGCUCCACCGCCAUCUGCUUCCGCCGGGCCGCCGCCAGGUGAUGGCCCCGUGCCGUCGUCGAUCCGAGGUCCGCAGGCACCCCCUCCUGGCGCCCGCCCGUUCCCUGGCAGUCCGCCGCCGCCGUUGCAGCCGGGCUCGCUCUUCGCCCGGCCUGCGGCGCCGGUCCAGCAGUCCCCUCCCUUUGGCGGUCCACCCGCGGCGUCGCUCCAGCAGUCCCCUCCCUUUGGCGGCCCACCCGCUGCGCAGCCGUUGCAGCCGCAGCAGAGAUCUCCCUUCAACGGCCCGCCGUCCGUGCUGCCGCCGCAGGUGCAGCGAGCACCGUUCGGAGGUCCGCCUGGGGCAUCCCAGGCUCGUCCGUUCGGUGGCCCGCCUGCUGCGGUGUCGCAGCCUGGCCCUUUCGGUGGCUCUUCUGUAGCAACAGCUCAAUCAGCUCCGUAUUCAGGAGCUCCGCCACCACCGUUUGGCGGGCCGCCUGGGGCAGUGCCUCUCCCGGCGUACUCCGGAGGGCCGAUCCCCCCGUUUGGGGCUGCACCGGCGCCCUUGCAGCAGGGUCCUUAUGGCGGGCCUCCCCAGUUUGGGGGGCAGAGACCAGGAUUGCAGCCUCCGCCAUUUGGGGCUCAGACUGCUCCUGCAUCUCAGCCACCACCGUUCAUGGGGGUUCCUGGGGCUAAUGCACCAGCAUUUGGGCCUCCAGGGUGGCAAGGGCAGGCACGGCCAGGAGCCGUGAGAAUGCCUGGUGGCAUGCCGCCUAAUGCACUAGGCCACGGGAUGCCGUCCACGCCCACCAUGCCAUACUCUCCCCAUGCUGGAGCCCAGGUCUCUACGCCAUCCAAUAUUGACCCUAAUCAGAUUCCGCGUCCUAUCGCCGAGACAUCAGUCAUCAUUUUUGAGACCCGGCAAGGUGGCCAAGCAGCUGUUCCACCGGCUGCAUCAAGUGAAUUUAUUGUGAAGGACACCGGCAACUGCAGUCCCCGUUUGAUGCGGUGCACCUUGAAUCAGAUACCAUGUACAGGUGAUCUCCUGACAACAUCAGCAAUGCCAUUGGCUUUAAUGGUGCAACCUUUUGCUCUUCCUCAUCCUUCCGAGGAGGCUAUCCAGCUCGUGGAUUUUGGAGAGAUGGGCCCUGUCAGGUGUUCUCGCUGCAAAGCAUACAUAAAUCCUUUCAUGAGAUUCGUUGAUCAAGGGAAAAUUUUCAUCUGCAACUUAUGUGGAUUUAGCAAUGAUACUCCAAGGGAGUACUUGUGCAACUUAGGGCCUGAUGGUAGGCGACGUGAUGCUGAUGAUAGGCCUGAGUUAUGCAGAGGAACAGUUGAGUUCAUUGCCACCAAGGAAUUUCUGGUCCGGGAACCAAUGCCAGCUGUGUAUUUCUUCCUUGUUGAUGUCUCCAUGAAUGCCGUACAGACUGGUGUAACUGCUGCGUCUUGCAGUGCAAUAUCCCAGGUUCUUUCUGAUCUUCCUGAAGGUCCCCGAACGAUGGUUGGAAUUGCGACAUUUGAUUCAACUAUUCACUUCUAUAGUCUGAAAAAUGCUCGACAACAGCCUUUGAUGUUUAUUGUUCCCGACAUCCAAGAUGUGUAUACUCCACUUCAGAUGGACUUAAUUCUCCCAGUUUCCGAGUGCCGUGAUAGUUUGGAGCAACUUCUGGAGAGCAUCCCCAGCAUGUUUGAGAACAAUAGGGUUGCUGAUUCAGCAUUUGGGGCAGCUAUGAAGGCAGGUUUCUUAGCUAUGAAGCCCACUGGUGGAAAGUUGCUUGUGUUUCAGUCAGUGCUACCAUCAGUUGGGACUGGCUCAUUAUCUGCAAGGGAAACUGAAGCUAGAUCUAAUAUUUCCACUGGAGAUAAGGAAGCACAUAAGCUCCUGCAGCCUGUUGAUAAGACACUCAAGACAAUGGCACUAGAAUUUGCUGAGUAUCAAGUUUGUGUGGAUGUGUUCCUUGCCACACAGUCAUACACAGAUAUUGCUUCGAUAUCAGUUGUUCCCAGUACCACCGGUGGCAGGGUUUACUACUACUUCCCAUUUUCUGCUGUUUCUGAUCCAGCCAAACUCUUCAAUGAUCUCAGAUGGAAUAUCACUAAACCCCAGGGAUUUGAGGCUGUCAUGCGUGUCAGGUGCAGUCAGGGGCUUCAAGUUCAAGACUAUUCUGGCAACUUCUGCAAGCGUGUUCCUACUGAUAUUGAUUUGCCUGCUAUUGACUCCGACAAAACCAUAAUGGUUACCUUCAAGCAUGAUGAUAAGUUUCAGGAGAACACAGAAUGUGGUUUUCAGUGCGCACUUCUUUACACCACGGUAUAUGGGCAAAGAAGGAUAAGGGUCAUAAAUAUUUCACUUCCAUGCACAAGCACGCUCAACAAUCUUUUCCGAUAUGCUGAUCAGGAAGCACAGUUUACUUAUGUUGUUAAGCAAGCUGCAAAUGGCAUUCCAUCAAGUUCUCUGUCCCAAGUUAGGGACCAGGUAAUAAGUACCUGCAUCAAUAUUCUCCAGUCCUACCGAAAACAUUGUGCAUCUGUAAGUUCUUCUGGACAGUUAAUUCUUCCGGAGGCUUUAAAACUUCUGCCUUUGUAUACUCUGGCCUUGAUUAAAAGCAUAGGACUGAGGAAUGAUGGGAGAGUAGACGACCGGUCCUAUUGGGUCUCUAUUGUCUCCUCAGUUUCUGUGUUAUUAGCCAUUCCAUUGGUGUUCCCUAGGAUGAUUGCUCUCCAUGAUCUCACAUCAAGGGAUGAUGAGGAUUCCCUUAUUCCAAAUCCCCUUACUCUCAAUAGUGAGAAUAUACAGGAUGAUGGGAUUUAUUUGUUGGAAAAUGGCGAGGAUGGUUUUAUUUAUGUCGGAAAUGCGGUGAACCCUGCCACCCUGGAGCAAAUAUUUGGUUUCUCAUCUUUGGCUGGUGCACCAAAUCUGUUGGCAUUGGAGCAAUUUGAUAAUGCAUUGUCCAGGAAAGUGAAUGAAGUUGUGAACGAAAUAAGGCGACAGAGAUGCUCUUACUUGAGACUGAGACUCUGCCGAAAGGGCGACCCAUCUGGGGAUUUCUUCCGUUCGCUGCUGGUCGAGGACAAAACACCUGGUGGCCUUUCCUAUGUGGAGUUCCUCGUGCAUGUUCACAGGCAAAUCCAGAGCAAGAUGACCUGA